AGUUAGGGUGGCCGAGCUUAGGCGGCGGGCUGUAGACCCGCAGACAGAGGUGCACCCCUCUCGCUAACA
Molecule: transfer RNA, 69 nt
Filed under: Rhineura floridana
Lineage: Eukaryota; Metazoa; Chordata; Lepidosauria; Squamata; Rhineuridae
Description: tRNA-Tyr
Rfam family: tRNA
About the family: Transfer RNA (tRNA) molecules are approximately 80 nucleotides in length. Their secondary structure includes four short double-helical elements and three loops (D, anti-codon, and T loops).
Source: RNAcentral